GACGGUAUAGCUCGGAGGUAGAGCAUUCGACUGCAGAUUGAGAGGUCUCCGGUUCAAACCCGGAUGCUCCCU
Trichonephila inaurata madagascariensis is the source of this 72-nucleotide non-coding RNA. Lineage: Eukaryota; Metazoa; Arthropoda; Arachnida; Araneae; Nephilidae. The record is from the annotation of a GenBank genome assembly.